RNAcentral lists this ribosomal RNA (301 nucleotides) under uncultured bacterium. Its description in RNAcentral is "partial 16S ribosomal RNA". It matches the Rfam family "Bacterial small subunit ribosomal RNA", at positions 509 to 807 of the family's 1533-position model. The record is from RNAcentral.
CAGCCGCCACGGUAAUACGAAGGGUGCAAGCGUUAAUCGGAAUUACUGGGCGUAAAGCGUGCGUAGGCGGUGAGUUAAGUCUGCUGUGAAAUCCCCGGGCUCAACCUGGGAAUGGCAGUGGAUACUGGCUCGCUAGAGUGUGUCAGAGGAUGGUGGAAUUCCCGGUGUAGCGGUGAAAUGCGUAGAGAUCGGGAAGAACACCGGUGGCGGAGGCGGCGACCUGGUCCUUGACUGACACUGAGGCACGAAAGCGUGGGGAGCAAACAGGAUUAGAUACCCCGGUAGUCCCUGUCUCUUAUAC